This is a non-coding RNA of Nothobranchius furzeri (turquoise killifish), 6644 nucleotides long. The record is from RefSeq and is a predicted model, not a curated record. NCBI's taxonomy places the organism in Eukaryota, Metazoa, Chordata, Actinopteri, Cyprinodontiformes, Nothobranchiidae.
UUGACUCACAAGAAGAAAAUCAGUUCACCUCUGAAACUGAACAUUUACAAAGAUUGUCUGAAAAUUAUGAAAACAAUAGAAGGAUUUUAGCGCUUUAUUUUCAUUCAACAAAACUUUGGCAACAGAUGAUCAGCUGAUGGGUGUGUUUUUUGGUGCAUCUAUCUCAUUUUGAUCUUCAGCGUUCUAGUGUAUUUGUCCAAGUUCUGCCCUGAUGAUUCUUUGAGCAGUAUUCACCAAGUCCAUUUCUUCUGUGCAUGUGCAGCAUGCAGCCAGAACAUUUUUCAAAAAGCUAAUUUUCUGCAGAAAUUUCCCAAAUUGUUUAUAAAAUGUUUGUCUCUAGAAGAAGUUUGGUAAAAAAAAAUAGGAAUGAAGGGAAAAGGAGCUUAAGUAGUGAAAGUGUUUGUUUACCAUGCUCAAUAAUGUGGUUAGAAGCUCUGACCGCUCUGUUUUACGGAAGUCAUUAUUAGAAAUUAUGUUUUUACUUUGAAUUAUUUUUGUGAAAAUUAGUAUAUUUUUUUUCUUUUACACUGUUUUAAAUAAAUAAAUAUUUUUUUUAAAUAAAUGAAUUAAUGUGAAAUUAGGUGAAUAUUUGUGAAAUGUUUUUAAUAGUUCUUCCCCUGUGGUUAACACGUGUGGGCUCAUCUGUACACUCUGUUGCCAUGGAAAGUCCACCACUUUACCUUCAUUUCAGCUCCAAGGCGAAGCUUCAAACCUUGAAAUGUCAUGAAGGAUCGUGCAUGGAGACUAAAAUCUUGAAUCGUUUUUGCUUAGAAAUAUUUAAACUCUUUUUACUGUUUUUUUUUAUUCUAUUUUAUUUUUUAUUUUUUAUCUUAUUUACUUUAUUGAAAGCUACGGUGGCUGACUUAAAGGACCCUAUGGGUAUGAUGAUCAGGAGACUAAAGUAAAAGUGAAACUAAACUCUGUAGCGGGUUGCUUCUUUGUUCCAUUUAAUCCAUUUUUAAACUAAAUGGAUGGAUUAUCAUCCACCAGCAUCACUUCUGGAUUAAACAACGUGAUCAAAUGAUUUCAGGAUGAACAAAAGGAGCUGCUUCCAUUUGCUACGGCUGUGAAAAGAGAACAAGAAAGGGUGGUAGGUUGUCUACCCUUCGUCCAAGACAGACUGUAUGCUUCAUAUAAGCAGUUAAUAAUGACCACUCAGCAAAAAUAUUCAACAUACAGCAGACUCUCCUAGACCAUUCUACUUUUUUUCUUCUGUGGUUUUUGUCAUCUAGACUGAAGACUAGACAAACAAUAGGAUAGACUUUAAAAAUGCAAAUGCACACAUUACAUUUCAUCUAUAGAUAUUAGCAAAUUUUGGAUUUAUUUGUAGUUAUUUAAAGGUGUGGUUCGCUGAAAAAACAAUUUUUAAUGAUUAUUUCAGAUUAUAAGUUUUUCAUGCAUGCUGAUCAUAAAAUAGUCUCCUACACCUAUCUCCUGCACUAGCGUCUGGUAGAAAAUAGAUGGUGAAACACUAGGAUUUGAAAAGCCUGACCGAUCUACAGUAAAGGCCAAAAGUUUGGACACACCUUCUCAUUCAAUGUGUUUUCUUUAUUUUCAUGACCAUUAGCAUGGGUAGAUUCUCACUGAAGGCAUCAAAACUAUGAAUGAGCACAUGUGGAGUUAUGUACUUAACCAAAAAAGGUGAAAUAACUGAAAACAUGUUUUAUAUUCUAUUUUAUUCAAAAUAGCCACCCUUAACUGAUUACUGCUUUGCACACUCUUGGCAUUCUCUUGAUGAGCUUCAGGAGGUAGUCACCUGAAAUGGUUUUCCAACAGUCUUGAAAGGAGUUCCCAGAGGUGUUUAGCACUCAUUGGCCCCUUUGUAGAUGAUCAUGGUCAGGAAAAUAAAGAAAACACAUUGAAUGAGAAGGUGUGUCCAAACUUUUGGCCUGUAAUGUAUGUCAAACGGUCGCUUGGAAUCUCAUACUGGCUCACAACUGGGAAGUCUAUAGCGUCCAGAAUCAGCAUUGAACGUUUUGUUCUUGCAAACGUUAACCCUUAACAUUAGCAACUCAACCACACAGCAGAAACUCAUCCAGGCUUGUGUUAUUUGUGGAGAUAAAACAUCAACGUUGCAAAGCAGUCAAUGGUAGUCAUGUUACUGUAAUCCAAUCCUAGGUGAGAUGUCCAAAUAUCAGGAAAUAAGACUCCAAAUCCUGCCAUGUGAUGUGGCAGACUUGUCCCUGCUAAUGCAGACGUUUCUGGAGGGUUUUCUGACCCAAGUAUAGCUUGCAAGGCAUUCAUUCAUUCCUACCAGAGACCACUGCAAAUGUAUUGACUAAACGGGUUUCCCACACCUUUAAAUAAAAAAUAAUAAUACAAUAUUAAACUUUUGUAGUGUAGUUAUGCUUAAGUAAUUUUCUCGUCUACUAGAAAAUUAAUUGCAGUCGGGGAGGUAUUGCAGAGGUAAUUUUGGACAAUGCACAAAAAAUAAACUGUGCUGAUGAAACCCUUUUUUUUUGUCUAGCGUUGGAAUUCUGCAGGUUAGCGUAAUAGUGCAGAUGACUAUGAUGAGUCACCGGUGCACUCUUUAAAUACUGAGUUGCGCUUUAUGUUAGGAGGCUUUUUUUAAAUCAAAGGAAAAAAAUGUUCUCAAAAUUUAGGAAAAAAGCUGCUUUUUUAUUUAGAAUCUUUGGAAAAGAAAUUUUUUUAAAAAGUUUCUAAAUUGCUUCGCGAAAUCUAACUGAUAGAAACAACAGAUAUUUUAAAUUAAAAUUUAAUUGUCAGAUUUAAAAAGUAGAAAAAAUGUUAAGGAUUAAUUAUAAUAAAGUAGAAAAUUAAACUUAAAUAAAAAACAUUUGAAAUGGUCACUUUGACAGCAUUUUUAAUGAUUUUUGUUUUAUUAUUAUUCUUUAAAAGCUUAAAAAACAAACGUAAUCUACGGUCAUGCCACUUUGGAUUACUAAAAGUUUCAUUGACUUCCCUUUGUUACAUUUUAUUUAGAAAAGAUCCUUAUAUAACUAGUCAUAGUAAUUACACAUUGAUUUAUAAGUGAAUUGCCACUGUAAAUAAUUUUGUUGUAAAAACUAGAUAUUAAUUUAACCGAUUGUAUUUAAUUUAUGUCAUUGCAAAUAUUAAGCAAGGUGUUUGUUUUUACUGUAAUUUGCAUAUCUGUUCCCCCAAUAAGUUUCUGUUGAAUCUGUGAAAAAUUGUUUGCAUUUUGUGUUGAUAAAAUUGCUAAAACAGACUUCCAGAAAGUUUUCUGCUGAUGACCAACUUUCAUUUUCCCGCCCUCUGAUCAUACAAAAUGUAUAUUAGGCACAAUUUUUCUUUGUUUGAAAUAAAACAAGGAGGGAUUUUUAAUAUUUGUCUGUCAAAAAAUAUAAUAGAAUUUCUGGGUUUUUUUUUUAUGUUUGUUUGUAUAGAUUUAAAAUAAAAACCAAUAGUCAAAAUUUUCCUAAAUGUACAGGAGGAUUUCACAUUUCCCAAAUGAAGUCAGACCUGAGGAGAUUGAAUUUUCAGAUAAAACAAUAAACACUUUAUCAAGUUGGGUCAUGCCUUUGCUACCGCUUCACCCAUUUCUGAGGUUCUGUGCAACUACAAGUGAUUCCCUCUUCCCAAGAAAACUCCUGUUUUUGCUUUCAGCUGUUUCAGGAGCACGAGGGGAAGGAGCUUUCCUCACAAAUAAGCUGGAUUUGUUUCUCUUGAACCCUUGUAUUCUGAAAUUAGCAGCAAAUGUAACUUAACUUGUCCCUAAAAAUUAAACUGGAAAUCUGCAUUUGUCACACUUUGGGGCAUUCAUCUUUGCAGUUUGAUUGGAAUUAGCUACAAAACCCACUAGUCAUCACAAAUUCUACCUUCAGCCACUCAUUUUGAUAAAUAAUUUCUGAUCAGUUCUGGCUGCUUUUAGACUGUCUUGAUUGCUCAAAAAAAAUGCGAGAUUGGUUGUUACAUUUAUAAUUGACUGUUUUAAUCUUGUAACGUGUUUCUUGAGGUAUUUUCUGCUCUUGUUGCUGCCUCUUGGUCAACUCGUCCUUUUAACCCUUUGAUGCAUAAUGGUCAUUACAGUGGACAGGUACUCAAAAUUGUUUUGUUUUUUGUUUUGUUUUUGUUUUGCUAUUAAGUUGAAGACUUUGUUGCAUUUGAGCCCCUCCAUUUGGACUUCAGGGAGUCAAGCCAACAUAUUUCAUGUUCAGAAUGCACGCUGUCCACUGAGGUGGACAUGUAAUAAAUUAUUAGUAAACUAUUAAAUGUCACAAAAAUAUUUGUUGAAAUUUGUUUCAUUCACACUUGAAAAUGAAUGAAGAAUUUUUUUUUAAAAGUCAUGGUUGAAGAUUUCAUAAUUCAUGCAUCAAAGGGUUAAGUGAGGAUGGGUUCUGAAAAAACGCAACUGGUAAAUAAAAAGUAAAAUAAAGGUAAAAAUCUAACAUUUUCAGCCAAAACUGCUCAGUGUGUCAUGAAUGACACUGUAAUGAGUUAUAUCUGGUUCAAGAGUUUCUCUUCACCCCUGUCAGAAAGGCCUCUUUACAAAAAGUGUCCAUCUUGCAUGAUUCUGCCAAAAGAACAAGAGUUAGAAAAAAAUAAUCCACUGAAGCAUUAAUUUCACCACUGUGGACAUGUUAAAGGAGGCAGAAACAGCUGGUAACAUUUGUUUAUGUCUCAAACCAAUAAAUGCCAAUAAAUACUUCAUGAAGAAAAUUAUAUUUAACAUUUAUGCUCAAAUUUUUACUUCUCAGGAAUAUUUUUUUAAUUUCAAAGUUUAGAAAAUGCAUCAUACUGGGAUUAUCAAUGUUUGUAGACUUUUAUAAAAACUAUUGUUACAGUUUUUGGCACUUUGUGCUAAAUCUCAGAUGUUUAAUUGAGCCCCAUAUGAGGAAGAUGAAAUGCACAAUGCAUCUGUCUGAUGAACUAAACAACCACAUAGAUCAUAUGGCCAGAAGGGUGGAUCUGCUUCCCCUUCAAUGUGGUUGAAGAUUACUGUGAAAAGUACCCAAAACAUGCUGUUCUUUGCAGUCUUUCUGGUUGGCUCGCUCAGAGAAACUUCUAAACUUUGGCAAACGUAAGGUAAAUCCUUUGGCGCAAAUCCCUCAUUUCAUAAUCUGGUUGCAUCAGUAACGAGCCAACGUGUUUUCAGACUUCAUUUUUACCUUUUAUUACAAAAAACUACAAACACAACUAUAUACAGAAACACCUUGGAGAUGGGUUUUGGGCAAACAUCAAGAAGUGCGUUCACCGUAUUUUGACGGAUUCAUGAAGACAUUGGAAAAAUGCGAUGUUUUGAUUUGACACCAACUCCUUCACAAAUGCUUAGAGCAGCUGGCAUUUGCGAUCAGUGCCAGCCUAAGUGCACUCGAGGUAGGCGAACCUCACCUUUAUUACUGGUUACAGUUAAUAAUACAAUGCCCUGUCAGAACUCCACAAGCUGUACAAUUUUACAACACAGAAAAUUUACAUGAACGUUGUUUUGAACCAGUCAAAAACAAAGACGACAAACAGUGUUCUUCAGAACUUCACAUAGUGGCCGAGAGACGGGAGUGGCUCCGUACGGAACCACGAAAAAGGAGUUAGCUUAAUGAGUCGAGACCAAAGAGACUGUGACUUGACUUAAGGGGUUUGGUCCCAGAUUAGGAGGUGGGGUGGACAAGCAGAGCUUCAUAAUAGUCCAAAGUGUCAAAGCACUGUCCUGUUAGUUCAAUCUGAAUCUAUUGGCAAAAGCUGUUCCAGAAGACAUCUGUGGGUGAUGUGAAGUCUGUGCCCAGAGUUGUGUACUGGGGUGUGUCAUCUACUUCUUCUCCUGCAAACACAAGGACCAAAGGUGAGAACAAGUACCAGGAUUUUAGUAAUAAUUUUAACCUACGGUAAUCGUCUAUCUAGACUGGUAUUUACCUGAGGAUGACUCACUCCACUGGCUUCCUGGACUCGUGCAUGCUUCAUUGCUCAGGAAUCCCAUGUUGCCUGCAUUGUACAUCCCCAGUGAGUCUUUCUCCAAUUGCUGGCAAAUCUGUAAGAGCAACACCAGAUUGAGUACUUUUGUCCAACUGGAGUUUUUCCACAACAUCAAGUAGCUUUUUUUUUUAAUUAAGCCUUAUAAUUUUAGUUAUUCUAAAACAAGCCAAACAGGCCAAAAAAGACAAACAUGGGUAUUCAUGUCAAUGAAAACUGCAUGUGUUUAAAAAAAAUAGGAGCUGAGAGCUGUGCUUACCUCAAUGAUGUCCUGAGGAUAGUCGUAAUCUGGAAGGUCGCAGCAAAGAAACAGGGAGAGAAGAAAAAGCAAAUGAGUCUAAUGUUUGCUGUAUUAGGCAAUUUCUUCAUCUUUAUUCAGAGAUUAAAUCUGUCAUCUUACCAGGACUGUGUUCAGGGGAAACCUCAAAUCUGUGAGGAAAGCUGCUUGGUAGGUCGUCCAACGAGAUUUCGACUGAAUUCGACCAAUCAGGGACCUCUGACGGAGCCGUGAAGGAGAAAUCUGCAACAGGAUUGAUGAAGAUUUUAGAUCAAGUCACUCAAAUAUUUUUUUAGGACUUUCAAAUAACAUUUUGGUUUUGCUCACCUUCCUGGUCCAUCUGUACCAUGCUGUCGACUCUGUUUUCCUGAGUGGAGAUGUUUUCUUCAAACAAGGAUGUGUUCAGUGGCGACUGAGUGUCACUGUAGUCUGUGUCUUCCUCCAUAUUGACAUUCUGUCUCUGCUGAAGCAAAAAAAAAAACAA